CGCCGUUCGCUCACAUCCAGGAGCAGCAGGGCGUAAUUACCCAAUCCCGACACGGGAGGUAGUGACAAUAAAUACUGAUACGGGGCUCUUUCGGGUCUCGUAAUUGGAAUGAGUACAAUCUAAAUCCCUUAACGAGGAACAAUUGGAGGGCAAGUCUGGUGCCAGCAGCCGCGGUAAUUCCAGCUCCAAUAGCGUAUAUUAAAGUUGUUGCAGUUAAAAAGCUCGUAGUUGAACCUUGGGUCUGGCUGGCCGGUCCGCCUCACCGCGAGUACUGGUCCGGCUGGACCUUUCCUUCUGGGGAAUCCCAUGGCCUUCACUGGCUGUGGGGGGAACCAGGACUUUUACUGUGAAAAAAUUAGAGUGUUCAAAGCAGGCCUUUGCUCGAAUACAUUAGCAUGGAAUAAUAGAAUAGGACGUGCGGUUCUAUUUUGUUGGUUUCUAGGACCGCCGUAAUGAUUAAUAGGGAUAGUCGGGGGCGUCAGUAUUCAGCUGUCAGAGGUGAAAUUCUUGGAUUUGCUGAAGACUAACUACUGCGAAAGCAUUUGCCAAAUCUCC
This 555-nucleotide ribosomal RNA is filed under the name Aspergillus terreus. Its description in RNAcentral is "SSU rRNA". It matches the Rfam family "Eukaryotic small subunit ribosomal RNA", at positions 404 to 967 of the family's 1831-position model. The record is from RNAcentral. Lineage: Eukaryota; Fungi; Ascomycota; Eurotiomycetes; Eurotiales; Aspergillaceae.